Molecule: small nucleolar RNA, 119 nt
Filed under: Trichophyton rubrum BMU01672
Lineage: Eukaryota; Fungi; Ascomycota; Eurotiomycetes; Onygenales; Arthrodermataceae
Description: CD-box snoRNA
Source: RNAcentral
UAUAUGAUGAAUACAAUACACAGACCUGAUCCGAACAUUUAAUGUGGAUACCGUAUUGUUGCCUUCCUUCUGAUAUCAUUUUCCCUUUCACCAUGACUAUUAUAUCGAUAUUACUACAU